UGCAGUCGCCGAUGAAGCCCAGCUUGCUGGGUGGAUUAGUGGCGAACGGGUGAGUAACACGUGAGCAACCUGCCCCUGACUCUGGGAUAAGCGCUGGAAACGGCGUCUAAUACUGGAUACGAGUAGCGAUCGCAUGGUCAGUUACUGGAAAGAUUUUUUGGUUGGGGAUGGGCUCGCGGCCUAUCAGCUUGUUGGUGAGGUAAUGGCUCACCAAGGCGUCGACGGGUAGCCGGCCUGAGAGGGUGACCGGCCACACUGGGACUGAGACACGGCCCAGACUCCUACGGGAGGCAGCAGUGGGGAAUAUUGCACAAUGGGCGGAAGCCUGAUGCAGCAACGCCGCGUGAGGGAUGACGGCCUUCGGGUUGUAAACCUCUUUUAGCAGGGAAGAAGCGAGAGUGACGGUACCUGCAGAAAAAGCGCCGGCUAACUACGUGCCAGCAGCCGCGGUAAUACGUAGGGCGCAAGCGUUAUCCGGAAUUAUUGGGCGUAAAGAGCUCGUAGGCGGUUUGUCGCGUCUGCUGUGAAAUCCCGAGGCUCAACCUCGGGCCUGCAGUGGGUACGGGCAGACUAGAGUGCGGUAGGGGAGAUUGGAAUUCCUGGUGUAGCGGUGGAAUGCGCAGAUAUCAGGAGGAACACCGAUGGCGAAGGCAGAUCUCUGGGCCGUAACUGACGCUGAGGAGCGAAAGGGUGGGGAGCAAACAGGCUUAGAUA
This 714-nucleotide ribosomal RNA is filed under the name Microbacterium sp. YIM 69494. Its description in RNAcentral is "bacterial SSU rRNA". It matches the Rfam family "Bacterial small subunit ribosomal RNA", at positions 56 to 784 of the family's 1533-position model. The record is from RNAcentral. Lineage: Bacteria; Bacillati; Actinomycetota; Actinomycetes; Micrococcales; Microbacteriaceae.